RNAcentral lists this non-coding RNA (26 nucleotides) under Mus musculus (house mouse). Lineage: Eukaryota; Metazoa; Chordata; Mammalia; Rodentia; Muridae. The record is from RNAcentral.
UAGGGCAGUGGCGCAGAAGGUAGAGG